Molecule: small nuclear RNA, 196 nt
Organism: Rhododendron vialii
Lineage: Eukaryota; Viridiplantae; Streptophyta; Magnoliopsida; Ericales; Ericaceae
Product: U2 spliceosomal RNA
Exons: 1
Source: RefSeq, a predicted model, not a curated record
AUACCUUUCUCGGAUUUCUGGCUAAGAUCCAGUGUAGUAUCUGUUCUUAUUUGUUUAAUAUCUGAUAUGUGGGGCCAUCAGCUCACUCUUUAUUAAAUUAAUUUUUUAAGGGGAAGGGCCCACUAUAGUACGUCUACUUGGGUCUCUCAUGCGUCGCUUUGGUGUUGCACUAUUGCAUUGGCCUGACGCACCCCAC